CUCGUGGCGACUUGACUUCACUUCUCUGUACCAAACUCCGCAACGAAGACAUGUUUGUGUUAUUUGGAGGAAGUCAACGCAUCACAAUGAGAGCUCAUGAUCUCAGUAUGAACAAAACUGCUUCGUUAUUCCAAGAUUACCACAGACCUGGCCGUGAACACCGUUGACAUCCACCUGAGGGAGACGCUGCCUAAGAUCUCAAGGCUGCUUGGUCGUGGUCUUUCUGGUCCUGCUCCAGAACGCCUUCAUCAACUAUGUCGUCUUUUGAAGAGGCCCGCAGUUGCUGCAAUCUCUGACCUUAAGGAGGAACUGCUACUUUCACUCUGUAACGAGACGGCGGUUAUUUUAAAGACCCAGCUCCUGUCGGCUUUGAAAGAAAGUUUAAUACCCAUCAAAACAGAACUACAGACAGGUAAAUCUGAGCUGUCAGUCAGUAUGUUAAACAUCAAGUCUGACCCGUCUGCCCUCAAGCAUGCUGUGGGUAAAACGGAAACUUCACUCUCCACAUCACCGAUGACAUCGUCACACUUCAAAAAGCAGAGCACCUGUCUGCUGAACUUUUAAAAGUGGACAAUAAAUGUGAAGAAUGUGAGCAGCAGCAGCCUGUGAGCAGCGGAACAGAUGUGAUCAGAAAGAAGUCAUUUUCUUUCUGGUUGACUUGAUGCUGUCAGAUGCAGAUGUUGGAGCUGAUUCUGAUCUUUCAGGAUAAAAAGCUGCUUUUUCUUUACAGACUUUUCAGGAAAUUAUUCUCUCAGGUUUUCUCUGCUAUUUAUAUUUUUAUUAUCUGUGAUUAUUUCAUUAUUGUAAAAUAAAGUUUGAAGCAUAAAGACUCA
This is a long non-coding RNA of Amphiprion ocellaris (clown anemonefish), 833 nucleotides long. RefSeq lists it as uncharacterized. NCBI's taxonomy places the organism in Eukaryota, Metazoa, Chordata, Actinopteri, Pomacentridae. The record is from RefSeq and is a predicted model, not a curated record. The transcript is spliced from 2 exons.